UACGAAGGGUGCAAGCGUUACUCGGAAUUACUGGGCGUAAAGCGUGCGUAGGUGGUUUGUUAAGUCUGAUGUGAAAGCCCUGGGCUCAACCUGGGAAUUGCAUUGGAUACUGGCAGGCUAGAGUGCGGUAGAGGGUAGUGGAAUUCCCGGUGUAGCAGUGAAAUGCGUAGAUAUCAGGAGGAAUACCGAUGGCGAAGGCAGGUCUCUGGGCUGACACUGACGCUCAUGCACGAAAGCGUGGGGAGCAAACAGG
RNAcentral lists this ribosomal RNA (253 nucleotides) under uncultured bacterium. Its description in RNAcentral is "partial 16S ribosomal RNA". It matches the Rfam family "Bacterial small subunit ribosomal RNA", at positions 524 to 776 of the family's 1533-position model. The record is from RNAcentral.